This 433-nucleotide ribosomal RNA is filed under the name uncultured Glomus. Its description in RNAcentral is "partial 18S ribosomal RNA". It matches the Rfam family "Eukaryotic small subunit ribosomal RNA", at positions 665 to 1098 of the family's 1831-position model. The record is from RNAcentral. Lineage: Eukaryota; Fungi; Glomeromycota; Glomeromycetes; Glomerales; Glomeraceae.
AUGAGACGAAUCUAAUGAGCUAUUUUGCGUCCUUCUAUGAUCACUAGAUGGCGAGAUAUGAGUUUCGAUCUUUUUUUUUGAGUUUCAGAGUUUCAAAAAUUUUUGAGCCUUCGAAACUAGUUUUGACAGGCAACUCUACAUGGAAUAAUGAAAUAGGACGUUUGAUUCUAUUUUGUUGGUUUCUAGGAUCAACGUAAUGAUUAAUAAGGAUAGUUGGGGGCAUUAGUAUUCAAUUGUCAGAGGUGAAAUUCUUGGAUUUAUUGAAGACUAACUACUGCGAAAGCAUUUGCCAAGGAUGUUUUCAUUAAUUAAGAACGAAAGUUAGGAGAUCGAAGAUGAUCAGAUACCGUCGUAGUCUUAACCAUAAACUAUGCUGACUAGGGAUCAGAUGAUGUUAAUUUUUUAAUGACUCAUUCGGCGCCUUACGGGAAAC